GAUGAACGCUGGCGGCGUGCCUAAUACAUGCAAGUCGAGCGAACAGACGAGGAUCUUGCUCCUCUGACGUUAGCGGCGGACGGGUGAGUAACACGUGGAUAACCUACCUAUAAGACUGGGAUAACUUCGGGAAACCGGAGCUAAUACCGGAUAAUAUAUUGAACCGCAUGGUUCAAUAGUGAAAGACGGUUUUGCUGUCACUUAUAGAUGGAUCCGCGCCGCAUUAGCUAGUUGGUAAGGUAACGGCUUACCAAGGCAACGAUGCGUAGCCGACCUGAGAGGGUGAUCGGCCACGAUGGCACUGAGACACGGUCCAGACUCCUACGGGAGGCAGCAGUAGGGAAUCUUACGAAAUGGGCGAAAGCCUGACGGAGAAACGCCGCGUGAGUGAUGAAGGUCUUCGGAUCGUAAAACUCUGUUACUAGGGAAGAACAAAUGUGUAAGUAACUAUGCACGUCUUGACGGUACCGAAUCAGAAAGCAACGGCUAACUACGUG
Molecule: ribosomal RNA, 497 nt
Filed under: uncultured bacterium
Lineage: Bacteria
Description: partial 16S ribosomal RNA
Rfam family: Bacterial small subunit ribosomal RNA
Source: RNAcentral